GAUCAGUGCCAAAACUGGCGUCAGCCUUUCUUAUCCGCAGCAAAACGUGGCCACCCCAUCCAUCGUUGUUUGAUCCAGCCUUUACACGCAUAUAUCAGCGAAGUAGGCAGUGACAAUGUCCACAGACAGUAGAGAGAGAAAGAGAGAGAGAGAGAGAGUGUGUGUGUCGCCAUGGACGAGCUGAAGCCCAGCCCUCCGAACUCAUCGCCGUUGACCCCGCUCGGCUUCCUCGAAAGAGCCGCCACCGUCUACGGCGACUGUCCCUCCGUCAUCUACAACGACACCACCUACACAUGGUCGCAGACCCACAGCCGGUGCCUCCGGGUGGCUUCGUCGCUCGCUUCCCGCGGCAUCGGCCGGGGCCACGUGGUCUCCGUCGUUGCCCCUANNNNNNNNNNNNNNNNNNNNNNNNNNNNNNNNNNNNNNNNNNNNNNNNNNNNNNNNNNNNNNNNNNNNNNNNNNNNNNNNNNNNNNNNNNNNNNNNNNNNUAAGAAAAGUAAAUAAAUGUAUUUUUUUUUUCAGAGAAGAGAUAUUGGCAAUGUAAAUAGAUGUUUAGCUAACUCAAGUAAAAGUUGACAAUGUAAGAUUUGUUAGUAAUUAAUUCGAAGAAAAACAGAUAAUUACUCUAACUGAGAUUGGUAAUUUAUUAAGAGAUUUUUUUUUUUUUUGUUAAAAUUUCUAAAGAGAAGUUGGGCGAUUUAAAAAUCGGUAAUUUACAAGACAAAUGAAAAAUUUCAGACAAAAGAAAAGUUGCUAAACUAAACAUAUAUGAACAUUGUAAAAGCAACUCAAAUGAAAAAUUGAACAAAAACUAGUCUAUGACUUAUAAUUGCUCAAAUCAAGGUUGGUAAUUUCAUAUGAUAUGUGGUAAGUUUAAGAUGUCAAAAAGAAAUAACUAAAAGUAGAAAAAAUAGGAGGGUUUUUUUUUUUUAAGGAUAAUAAACUUACUCUGAUAUAACACAAAAUUAGUUGCAAAUUUAAUAGAAAAAUGUAGAGUUAUCUACUCUAAUUAAAGAUGCUAGUUUCUAAAAAUAAGUUCAUCAAUUUAAAAAAUUUAUAAUUAGUGGCAAAUAAAAGUUACCAAACAAUAAGAGUAUUUGUAAAUUAAGAAAAAAAAAGCCGUAGAUAAGUGACUCAAAUGAGAGUUAAUAAUUCAAAAUCAGUUAAUUGGCUUAAUCUUGGAAAAAUUAGUCAGUAACUCAAGUGAAAAUUGCUAAUUGCAUAUGAUAGUUCAAAAAUUUAAGUUGUUGAUAAGAUAAAUAGAUGAAGUAGAAACCAAUAGAGACUUUUUCUGAGAGAUAUGAAAAUUGGUAAUUACAAAAAAAUAAAAGAAUAAACGUUAGUGUCUAGGUCAAAAGAGUUUGCAAAGCAAAAUUAGUUGAUGAUUUAUUAGGAAAGUUGGUAGUCGCACUACUUAAAGAGAAUAGUUUUUUGAAGAGUUGUUCAGUUUAAUUUAUCAGUAAGGCAAAUAAAAGAGGGUUUAAUGGAAAGUUGGCAAAUUUUGAAAAGAAGCCAAGUAAAUGUUGGUAAACAACGCAAAUGAGAAAGUUAGUAAACCUAAAUCAAUUGAUAACUCAACAAGAAAAAAACUAAUGUUUCAUAAGCUGAGAUUUCGCACGGUAUUCUAUGAGCUUCAAGACAAACGGGCCUCUACGCUUAUGUCCUAUGUUAUCGGGAACAAAGCCGGUGAACCGUUAAAUCACACCACUAAGAGUCGCUAAAUUCAUAUGAGAGUUAAUAAAUCUAAGACGUUUGGGAACAAGGCAAAUGAAAUCCAUAACAAAAGUUGAGUAAUAAAUAAAAAAUCAAAUAAACGUUGCUGAGUUGGCAACCCAAAAUUAGUCCUUAGUUUAAUUCUAACAAAGUUGACAAAUCAUUCAAAUAAAGAUAUGUGAAUUCAUAUAAGAGUUGAUAAAUUUGAAGCGCUACUCGAAAAGAAAAGAAAAGAAAAGAAAAGAAAAAAAUCAUUAAGAAUAUGUAUAAAAAAUUUUAUAAUUGGCAAACUAUUAGAGAAGUAGGUAGUUUCAUAGGAAUGUUAUUAUAAGUUAUCAACGAAGUACUGAGAAAGGAUGUGAUUGAUAAUUUCUUUUACUUAUAACUUUUUUGAUACUUACAUACUCUUUAAGCAAUCAAUCAACAAGACAAGACAAUUUUCGUUUUUUUUUUUUAAGGAACAGUAGAAUCGUUUAUCAUAGGACCAAACGGCAAGAUCGAAUAGGGUAUUUGGUGGGAAUGCAGAUAUUACAAUCAUUUUCAUGAUUUUCUUUUUCAUGGUGAACGAUGGUUAUCGUUUCAUGGAGAAGCGUUCCUUAUCAUGAAAUACUAAAUUUUCCAAUAUCCCUUUUUUUUUCUUUUCUAUAUAUUAUCUUUGCUUGAAUGAUAAAAGCUUUAGAGAUUUUGCGAAUCUUUAGAUUGAAACAAGCAAUCAAAAUCUUACGAUUAUUAUCCUAUUAACAUAUUCCAUUUGCAUACCUCUAAACAAAACUCGAUAUUUAAAAGACUAAAUGGCCUCUCAUUACAAACUUAUGUGAGCAAGUUGCUUAAGGUUUGGAUUGUGUUGUCUUUAGUUCAUUUGUGUUUUGGAUAGGUAUGAAUUAUUUAUUUAUUUAUUUGGAGUGAGCAAUUUUUGAAAAAAAGUGGCAUUUUCGUGGGACACGAUAAUAAUUUAUGUGAAUGCACAAAUUGAUUUCAAAGGUAAAAUUUAGGUAUGUUCUUAGUAUUUUCAAAAAUUAAAAAAAAAAUGUAAAAAGUCAUUGGGUGAAAUAUGAGGUAUAUUUUUAGUAUUCUCCCUUCUUUAUAAUUGAAAAGAAGAAGAAGAAGUGAUCACCCCCAGUCAACCAACCAUUCAAUUAAUUUUUGGAAGCUUCGGCUCUUGUUUUCAUUCAAGAUCUAAUUCACCAUAGUCAAUAAUGGAAAGUUUCUUGUUUUUUUUUUAAUCCGAAUCUUACGACUUGACUAAUUCCUAUGAAUACAUAUAAUCAUCUCAUUCACGUGUAACGAAUAGUAAAACUUCACCCACAGGUGGCAAGCACAAUUUUCAUAGUUACUAUGGAUGAAUAAUGCCGUGAUUGGAAUAUAGGAUUUGUCGGUUCCAAACCAAGCGCUUAACAAUUCAGUCGACCCCUUCAGGCUCGAAAAUGGGUAGUUUUAUUCAUUCUUAUACAACUCCUCCCCAAUACUCUCCCUUCCUUUGUUUCAUUGACCUUUGAAUAUGACCUUUUCUGUCUCGGCCUCCUCCAUAUUCGAAUGGGAGAUAUCGCCCUUCGUCACAGUGCCGGUUUAUGGCUCGGAUGGGUUGGGCCUGUGCCGAUAUAAUGGGCCUCGUGUCGAAGUUUUCGGGCCAAAUAUAUUGGAACCAGAAAUUUGGGCCAGGCUGAACCAUGAAAGUUCGGCCCGGACCCAACUGAUCUGGGCCUACUUGAUAGUAGCUUGAUUUUCAUUUUUUUAAGGACUCGUUGCUAAAAAAUCCUCCUGAAGUUUUCCAUCGUUGCAUAAGUUCCCUCAAACUUUGAAAAGUUAGAAAAUUACUUUUCUCAAUUUUUGCGUCGUUGCACGAUACCCUUGAACUUUGAAAAGCUAUAGAUGACCCCUGAAUUUUAAUUUUUCUUUUGUUGAAAUCAUUAAUUGUUCCAUUCACUUAGCUAUUAAAUAUUAUCCAAGAAUGGACAAACUCAUUUUUCUCGAUCAAAAUAAUAUCUACUAAAUUUUCUGAACAUCAAUCAUCCAUUCCAUUUAUUCAUCCAAAUUCAUUAACUAUCCAAUAGAGGUUACUUUGGUGAAAAAAAUUAAUAAGUCUAUAUUUAGGUAACAUUUAAGCACCACGCCACAAAAAAACUAGCACAAACAAUAAAAAUCAAAGCGAGAAAGUCUGCAACUUUUCAAAGUUCGGUGACUAUUGUGCAACAAUGCUAAAAUUAAGGGGGUUAAUCUAAUAAUUUUUCGAAAAAAACUCUGCUUAUUCAUUUUGUGAAAAAUCAAUGCUUAAAUAUACAGCUGUGAAAUGGCUUACAUGAUAAUGCUUUAAAGGGACUUAAUUACAUUCUCCAAUCUUUUCAGCAUCAAAAGGGACUUAAUUACAUUCUCCAAUCUUUCAGCAUCAAAAUCCCACUAUUUUGGACGUUCAGCCUCAUGACGAUGGCGAACUUGCCGACGGUCAUGGCACUGGCCCUCAUGUCCUCGCCGAUGCACCUCAUGUGGCCCGACUGCAAGUCGAAUCGGACCAAGCGAGACGGCUGGAACCCUAGCAGCAUCACGACGAGGACGACGUGGAGACGGCGACAGGCAUCGCGCGACGGGAACGCCAUCGUGCUGCUCGUGGAGCGACCGGAGAGGAGAAGAGUGAGCGGCCAAAGAAAGAAACGCUAGAGAAAGAGAGAUCCGCCGCCUGCGGAAUGGUGGUAUGGAGUUAGAGCAGAGGAGUUGAUGAGUGACAGCGCGAGGGGUCACCCCCCAGUCAAAAACGGACACGUGGCCGGCCGAGGUUCACGGGUGGGCUUGGACGUUUCGGAGAUUAUGACCUGACCCUUCUUUGGACUUCGAUUUAGUUGACAAGAAGUCGAUGAAUUGACAAAUAUCAGCACGGUAAUAACCAUCUGGCCAAAGGAAAAAAAGGGAAAGAAAUAAAAAGAAAAAAUAGAAACAUAAAAUAAUAAUUAAAAAAUUAAAAAAAUUAAAAAUUGAUAAAAUUUGUUAAUAUCAGUGUUGGCCGUGUCAUAUAGGACGGUCGAUAUCCAUGCCAAAUUCACCCGAUGAACUCAAUUAGCAAAAAGUGAAAAUUUAGGACUUGAUUAGUAAAGUUGAAAGAUUUAUGAAUAAAUUGAUGAAAGUAUAAUAGAUUUAGAACUUUUUAGAUAAUUUUACUGCUAACAAACAUGCCAUUUGUAAUCACCGCUUUUAGCAGCGCAAUUGGCUCGGGCUCUCUCCCCCUCACGAAAGGGAGGGGUCCUGCAGUCACUCCCCUAGGGUUUGCUCGCCGCCGUCGACUUAUGGGAUUCCCUGAUUACCAAAAGGAAAAAAGAAAAAAAAACAAACAAACAUGCCAUUUGUAGCUUCUCAACCAAGGUUGCAAAUGGACCGAGCAAAAAAAAGAACAAGGUUGCAAUGAAUCUGUCCAUUCCAUUCCUAUGCAAAUCUGGCCAUUCGUACAAAGACAAAGGUCUGAAGUUGUACUAAUGAUGGGUCUGAAGUUGUACUAAUGAUGGCCACAUGCUGUUGAAUAGAUACAAUGAAUGGUGAUUUCGUGAAUCACACGUAGCUAUCAUGAACUGUGAUUCUCCUGUAUUCGCAUAUUCUUGUGAGUGGAGCUUGGACUUAUCAGGGUAAAUAGUGAAUGAUGCAGAGAUGAUGAUAAAAUUGAUUUGUAAGAGUAACAUCAGGAUAGUUAGUAUUAAAAGCGGGAGCUAAUGUCACUUUUUUGAUGAGAUAAUGGUAAAUCGAAAUUAAUUAUUAUGUGUAAAGAGUCUUAUAUGUCUCACUUAAUGAAUUAAAUACCGGAAUUAAGCUAGACGGGACGUAAUUCGAUAGGAGAAUGUUAUUCGCCAUACUUUGAAAUGCUGACUUGGUGUUCUUUGCUUCUCUGGCGCAGGCCGUGACAUAAUGGUUGGCCCUCACAAACGACAGUCCAGUUCACGGUGCACGUCCUUAAGCGUCGAGUCUCCCAUCGCAUUCAGCCCCGAAUUUUUUCCGGCUACUCUUCUUCGUCGAGUUUCACGCGACGUGUCGUGACGGUGAUAAACACUCCUCCAUCCGCAUCGGCGGUGUCCUGGAAAAGAUGCGUCGCGACGUGGGAGUCUGGCUCUGCUCAUUAAUGCUCGACGUGAUUUUGGUGCCGACUUGGGACCUAAUAAUCAGGACGUGCGCUGGUAGCUGGAUCCGCUAAGUCCGUGAAUCACGCCCCCGGAAAAAUCAAACAUGAAAACGAGAGAAGUGGGAUUGAUGCAGAUCUUAGUGUCGGCGUUUCGUCGUGGCGGUGGUGUUGCGAAUCUUGCGAUGUGUUUUGUGCCGAUGGAUUUGACUGCAUGAUGUGCAGUAAUUCCCCAAUCUUUUUUUGGUAAAGUGUAAUUCCCCAAUCUCAUUCCUCUGAUGUCUCAAAAAGGAUUUAUGAGUCGGAACUUAUUAUUUUCUAGAGUGGAUACUCUUUACUUCUUGCUGGGUUUAAGAGAAAACGUGCCCAAUCUUCUCGAGCAAGGCCUUUUCCUUGCCAACUGCCAAGCACAAGGUCACAGUGCAUGCAAGCAUCGCGCCUCAUCCAUCGUCGACACGGCUAUUGUCACCACCUGACAACCACCGCCGUCUACGGAAUUCUUUGACUAUGCCAUCAGAGCUCGACCAAAUCUUCUGAGGUGUCGUCAAUACAGGCCAAGAAAAUCGUUCAUUGCACAUAGUCUAUUCCAGUAAAGUUCUCACCUGGACUCUGGGAGUUAAUGCCAAAUGAUGUUUAAAAGGCACAUCUCGUGAGUGAAUUGUAAUUUUGCAUAUUUAAUUUAGCAAUGCUCUCCUUCAGCCUAGUGUGUUAUUCAAUUCAUUCAUGCUCUGUCAUUUUAGAAGUCUACAAAUACUUGUGCCUUGUCUAGAGAGAAACGUGAUUGGCCGGCAUGACAAGAUGGUGGCGAGUACUCAAAAUCAGAUGAUGUGGUGAAUGAUCGCAUCAAGAGGUACAAAAACUGUCAAGUUAGUAUUUCAUUUUGGGUUUGCGUGAUCCUCUUACAUAAAAAAUAAUAAAUAUAAAUUUCACUUAUUAAUUUCUAUAACUUAAACUUUAUUUCAGGGUCAGGCACAAAUAACCUGAAUUUUUGGCCCUGCUUUUCAAUUUUUAUAUUGAUAUCCAUACCCCCACAUGGAGUGGGAUGUCAAAAGAAUCAUCUGCCUAGGUAAACAUAAAAGAUGAUGGGGAGGGACGACGAGUCAAUUAUUAAGGGACGUGCUGGAUCUUGCAAUCUUGGUUAAAGUAAUCAACUAAUCGUACAAACGACUUUCUAUACUUUCCCAAGAUGCCGACUCAAAGCCAACUCCGCUAUUGAUGCCGAUCUUGCACUGCCAGCCACGUGCGUAACUAAAUUAUAGUGAUCCAAUUGAAAGGAACUAUGUAAACAGGUUCUGACCCAAAAAAGAGAAGCAUAGAAACAGGCCACGGCCGCACGAGUGACUAUUUUAUUUUUCAUAAAUAAAAUUAUAAAGCCUGAAAAUUAUGCCAUUACUCUCACUAAAACAUGAUCCAAUCUGAUUUCGUAACAAUAAAAAAAGCAAACUUCUUCGUGGCCUAUUUAAUACACAAUUAUCAUAUGCAUUGUUGGGCUGGAUAACCCAAUUUGUUAGUUAAUAUGCAGUACAUUUUCUUCCUUAAAAUAUACUUGAGCAUACUUUCAUUUUGAGAAAUGAGCGUGUUAACAAAAUAAAACGACAAAAUUGAUUUCUGAAGUAGAGAACUGGCUACUUGCAAGUCCGCCUUUACAGUAAGUCUAGUAAUUCCCAAAUAAAUAAUGUCUUUUCUAUCGUGAGUGAAUAACAUGUUCCCACUAUUUGCACAAAUCCAGCGAGCCAAUUGGCUGAGUCAUCACAAAUAAGUCCACCUACUAAAGUCAGACCCAAGUUGCCUUAAAAGAAUCCAUCAAAAUGGAGUUUAACUCAACCAAAAGGAGGGGUUUCAACCCACAAACUUAUCUCUUCUCUCCCUUUCGACAUACAAUCUACUUUUUACUAAUCGAGCAGACAUGAUAUUAUUGACAUAUCGCAAGAUCAUAUUCACAGGCAUAACUAGAAAGAAGUCUUCUCCCUAAAACAAUUUUUAAUUCCUUCAAUUCCACAGACACUAGCAAGUUAUGCCAGAUAUUAGUGGCUAGUUAUAUUAUUAUUAUUUUUUAGUGAUAAAUACACUAAAAUUUCUAGAAAUUGUCACUAAAGUGUAAUUAGUUUCAAAACUUUCAAAAUGUAUAAUCAAGUCUUAAAACUUGUCACGAAAAUGCAAUUAUAUCCUAAGAAGCACCAGCACUCUUCAGAAGCUUUUGUCUCACGUCAGACACUACAACAUGUAUUUGACACGCUCCAACACGCAAGUUUAGAAUUCCAACAUGCACAAGGUCAAUUUUAAAAAUUUUCAAUAAAUCAAUGGUCUAAAUGUAAAUAUAUAAAAAAAAUACAAAUAAUAAAGGGGGAAAGAAAGACUUCUUGUUAAUUAUAUUUGAUUGUGAAAUGUGAAUUUUUUUGGACUUGUUGUUAAAUGUUAAAUUUACUGGCGGAAUAUGGAUUGCAUGUUUUUUUCUCUCUCCAAGUUUUAUGGAUUAUUGGAAUGGAAUGUAGUUAAAUUUGUCAAAUUGAAAUAAUGAAUGAUAUCAAGUGAAUUAAUUUUUUUGUAUAAACUCAUUAUAGGCUCUUUAUUUAUUUAUUUAUUUGUGAAUUUGAAUCAAAUUAAUUUGAUAUUACAAAAAUGAUAAUUUAUCAUGCAUAUAUAAAAAUAUACAUUUAAUUUUUUACAAAAAUGAUAAUUUAGCAUGCAUAAUAUACAUUUAAUUUUUUUAUACAACAUGUCGGAAUUCUUUGUUUUUUGAGAAAUAAUAUGUUGGGUUAAUACCCUAAAAAACCCCAAACUGGUAUACUUGUGACAAAUUUACCCCAAACUAUUUUUUUGAUCACCAAAAACCCGAAACUGGUAUACUUUUGACAAAUUUAUCCCAAACUGGUACACUUGUAACAAAUUUACCCUCCGUUAGUUUUCGUUAAAUUUUACUAUCAAAUUAUUAAGUUAAAUGACAUGUGACAGUUCACUAGUAUAUCGAUUUGAGAAUGCUCCGUUUGUCAUAUUUUACAAUUUUAUGAUUUUUUGUGGUAUUAAUCUAAUUUAGCGGAGGGUAUAUUUGUCACAAAUUUACAAUUUUGGGGUUUUUUGUGGUUGAAUAAAUUAGUUUUAGGUAAAUUUUUCAUAAAUGUAUCGGUUUAAGAUUUUUUAUUGUCAGUCGGGGUAAAUUUGUCACGGGUGUACCAGUUUAGGAUUUUUCAGGGUCAAAAAGAUAGUUGGGAGUAAAUUUGUCACAGCUGUACCAGUUUGGGGUUUUUCAAGGUAUUAACCCUAAUAUGUUAUUGUAUUGUGUCAUAUUGUGUUCCGUAUUGGUGUCAAUGUUAUUUAUAUUGUUUACUAAAGCUUUCAAAAAAGUAUAAUUAACGAAAAGAUUUGAUCGAAUAUUUUGACGUAUUUUAAAUUUUGAUUUUACUUUUUAAAAGUAUUGAGACUCAUUACACUUUGAUGGUGAGUUUUAUAAUUUAAUUAUAUUUUUUAAAAAAAUUAAAAUUUAAUUAUAUUUGUUGACUUCAGAUACCCCCACCUCGUUUUUAACGUUUUCCGAUCAGUGCCAAAACUGCGUCAGCCUUUCUUAUCCGCAGCAAAACGUGGCCACCCCAUCCAUCGUUGUUUGAUCCAGCCUUUACACGCAUAUAUCAGCGAAGUAGGCAGUGACAAUGUCCACAGACAGUAGAGAGAGAAAGAGAGAGAGAGAGAGAGAGUGUGUGUGUCGCCAUGGACGAGCUGAAGCCCAGCCCUCCGAACUCAUCGCCGUUGACCCCGCUCGGCUUCCUCGAAAGAGCCGCCACCGUCUACGGCAACUGUCCCUCCGUCAUCUACAACGACACCACCUACACAUGGUCGCAGACCCACAGCCGGUGCCUCCGGGUGGCUUCGUCGCUCGCUUCCCGCGGCAUCGGCCGGGGCCACGUGGUCUCCGUCGUUGCCCCUAACGUGCC
This 9729-nucleotide long non-coding RNA is filed under the name Eucalyptus grandis. RNAcentral's name for it is "long non-coding RNA (EGRA_LNC003805)". The record is from RNAcentral. Lineage: Eukaryota; Viridiplantae; Streptophyta; Magnoliopsida; Myrtales; Myrtaceae.